UGAACUAUAUGUAUAGUAAUUUUGGUGAUUAUUUCUAUCAAAUAAUUUGCUGUUCCUUUUUUAGAUCGACUUGAAGGAGAUUCAUGCAACAAUUGAUUUGUUUACUCCUGUUCCUUUCAUAUGCAUCUUUUGUAGUGCUCUUGCUUACCUUGGUUUUGUGUGGAUUGAACUUCUAGUUGAUGCUUCAUCUUUUUUUAUGGAGCAUUGGAGAUUAGGAGGACAACUUUAAUUGGAAAAUUUGGAAAUGAGAUUCAUUGCAUAGUAAAAUUUGUGUUAUCAUGAAUGCUAAUCUUAUUGAAGCCUUUAAAUAUGUUGAAAGCACAAAGGAAUUCCAGGUCUUCUUAUCACACUCACACACAAAGAAGAUGGUAAUGGAGCCCUAAAGUUUGAAAUUUUCAUUUCUUCUAAUCUUUACCUCCUUUCCGUAUAACAUUCGGUUCAUUAACUUCCAUUUUAGAAAUUUUUAAGGAAUAUUUCAAAAUUUGUCCUAAAUGCAUCUUGUUAUUUGGUUCAACCCUUCCUCUGCUCCCCAUAGUUCCAUGACCUACUCUUCUUUGAUGUGCUAAACCCAAUGGCAGCCAGGCUGAUUCAUCUUUUGUAUUCUCAAAUGAUUUUUUUUUCGUGUACCGCAAUGGUGCUCAUAAUCAGAAUUGCUUCACGGUUGCUUUUCAAUAUGUUGGCAGUGCCGGUUCAAUCAUCUGCAAUGAUCUUUGCCUUAAUGAUAAAGUUAUGUUUUCUCGCUCUCUCUGUUGAGAUUCUGGGUUUGAGUGGGUUUUCCAGAUUUAUUGUCCAUGAUGUGGAGUAGCUGAAAGACAUUUAGUUUUUAGCUGAUCUCGAACUGAAUCCAGUUGGCCCCUCAGAUUACCAGUAUGUGGGGGUCGAGCUGAGAUUGAGCCAACAAAAAUAGUUGAAGUCAAGAGUGGAAAGCUCAGGGGAUUUUCUUUCCCCCUUUCUCUCCUGUCCCUUUUCUCCAGUGCCAAAUGAAGCCUUUUCACAAUGGCAAUAUGAUCCUCAAGGCUUUUGGCAUGCUAUAGGAAUCACAAGGGAAUCAUGGCCAUCAGAGUUGCUCCAGAAGUUGGAUAAUUGUUAAGGGAACAGCCAGACACUGGUUGAUACUUGUCUUGGGUUUUAAUAAACACAAACUAUAGGGGAAGCUUUGUCAAGUAAGCUCCAUUGGUGCAGCAAAACAGAUUCUGUCAAGACAAAGCAUUGAGAAAAGAAUGCUUUUGUUUUGUUGCAUCUAACGGUGUAUAUGAAUAUUCGUACCAAAAGAAGACAAGAGAAGAGAAGAGAAGAAAAGAGAGAAAGAAAAGUGGAGGACGGCUGCUUCUUUCUCCUUCUAUUGGGUUUUGUGUAAGCCGAGGAGAAGGAAAUACUCUUUUAGCCUAAUAAGCCGAGAUGUCCUUGUCGUUUGAAAAAUGGCAAGAGGAGGAUAGAGAGGGUGGUUAAGGUUUGUAGAUAUACUAUUACUUUUUGGCCCCUUUGACUAACAUUGACAUCUCAUUUACGUA
Molecule: long non-coding RNA, 1511 nt
Organism: Alnus glutinosa
Lineage: Eukaryota; Viridiplantae; Streptophyta; Magnoliopsida; Fagales; Betulaceae
Exons: 3
Source: RefSeq, a predicted model, not a curated record